UACGGAGGGUGCGAGCGUUAAUCGGAAUUACUGGGCGUAAAGCGCGCGUAGGCGGCUGCGCAAGUUGGGGGUGAAAUCCCUGGGCUCAACCUGGGAACUGCUCUCAAGACUGCGCGGCUAGAGUACGGUAGAGGUGAGUGGAAUUUCCCGUGUAGCGGUGAAAUGCGUAGAGAUGGGAAGGAACACCGGUGGCGAAGGCGGCUCACUGGACCGAUACUGACGCUGAGGUGCGAAAGCGUGGGGAGCAAACAGG
RNAcentral lists this ribosomal RNA (253 nucleotides) under uncultured bacterium. Its description in RNAcentral is "partial 16S ribosomal RNA". It matches the Rfam family "Bacterial small subunit ribosomal RNA", at positions 524 to 776 of the family's 1533-position model. The record is from RNAcentral.